AUUGAACGCUGGCGGCAUGCCUUACACAUGCAAGUCGAACGGCAGCACGGGUGCUUGCACCUGGUGGCGAGUGGCGAACGGGUGAGUAAUACAUCGGAACAUGUCCUGUAGUGGGGGAUAGCCCGGCGAAAGCCGGAUUAAUACCGCAUACGAUCUACGGAUGAAAGCGGGGGACCUUCGGGCCUCGCGCUAUAGGGUUGGCCGAUGGCUGAUUAGCUAGUUGGUGGGGUAAAGGCCUACCAAGGCGACGAUCAGUAGCUGGUCUGAGAGGACGACCAGCCACACCGGGACUGAGACACGGCCCAGACUCCUACGGGAGGCAGCAGUGGGGAAUUUUGGACAAUGGGCGAAAGCCUGAUCCAGCAAUGCCGCGUGUGUGAAGAAGGCCUUCGGGUUGUAAAGCACUUUUGUCCGGAAAGAAAUCCUUGGCCCUAAUACGGUCGGGGGAUGACGGUACCGGAAGAAUAAGCACCGGCUAACUACGUG
This 486-nucleotide ribosomal RNA is filed under the name uncultured bacterium. RNAcentral's name for it is "partial 16S ribosomal RNA". It matches the Rfam family "Bacterial small subunit ribosomal RNA", at positions 30 to 507 of the family's 1533-position model. The record is from RNAcentral.